CCUACGGGAGGCAGCAGUCGGGAAUUUUGGGCAAUGGGCGCAAGCCUGACCCAGCAACGCCGCGUGAAGGAUGAAAUCCCUCGGGAUGUAAACUUCGCAAGAACAGGAAGAAUAAGUGGGGGACAAUACCCCCCAUGAUGACGGUACUGUUUGUAAGCUCCGGCUAACUCUGUGCCAGCAGCCGCGGUAAUACGGGGGGAGCAAGCGUUGUUCGGAUUUACUGGGCGUAAAGGGCGCGUAGGCGGUCGUGACAAGUCACUUGUGAAAUCUCCGGGCUUAACUCGGAAAGGUCAAGUGAUACUGUCGGACUAGAGUGCAGAAGGGGCAACUGGAAUUCUCGGUGUAGCGGUGAAAUGCGUAGAUAUCGAGAGGAACACCUGCGGCGAAGGCGGGUUGCUGGGCUGACACUGACGCUGAGGCGCGAAAGCCAGGGGAGCGAACGGGAUUAGAUACCCCGGUAGUCCUGGCCUUAAACGAUGAAUGCUUGGUGUCUCGGGUUACAUAGUCCCGGGGUGCCGUCGCUAACGCUUUUAGCAUUCCGCCUGGGGAGUACGGUCGCAAGACUGAAACUCAAAGGAAUUGACGG
Molecule: ribosomal RNA, 586 nt
Filed under: uncultured bacterium
Lineage: Bacteria
Description: bacterial SSU rRNA
Rfam family: Bacterial small subunit ribosomal RNA
Source: RNAcentral